AUGAAACAUAAGCAUGGUACUGGUCUACUAGAAUAUAAUUAAGGUGGAGCCUCACGUUAAUUAUUUGGAUAUGAUUGAAUGAGACAUUAAUGUCCAUAAGUUCUCUACAAUAAUGUUAUGUGCUUUAUUGGGUUAUCCACUCAUCUCCUCAGACUUUAUAUCCAACAACCUAUCAUUUAAGUUUGACAUUUAUUUCAUCUCCUUUUCCCUAAAGCAAACCCCACCCAUAAAAUUUGUUUUCAUCUUAUCCUCUCCUACUAGUUUAAAUUAAGCCAAAACUUCUCAGGUUUGGAUUAUCUUCUCAACGUCUCUUAACUAAGGGAAUAUAGUAAGUAAGCAUUAUAUAGCAUUAUAGUAAGGGUACUUGAAAUUUAACCAUAAUAAAAAAGUUAGUAAUUACAAAGUUAAUUUAUUAACUUAUUUGUAUUGGGUUAUCAGGUAAAUGAUUGAGAAACGGAUACAUUUUUUACAAUUAACUAUUUCUCGGAUGAUGGAUUACUCAAUUUCCUUAUCAGUUCGGGGAUGAAUUAUUCAAUUCCUUAUUGGAUAAACCGUUAAUCCGUUAGGAAUUAUGAUGCUUUCACUUUUACCCCUAGGUAUAUAAGUAUAUAAAGUAUAUAUUAAAUUAUUAUUAAACAAUUACUGCAGAAGUCUGAUCGCGAAUCUUGACUUCUUUUGUGAAACUUUAGUUUGUUCUUGGUCUAAAAUAAUAGUAUAAUACAAAAUCAAUCACAAAUGGCCUAAAUAUUUCUAGAUUAUAUUCAAAUCUCAAAUCUUAGGCCAACCUCAUAUGAUUUUUCCACCCAUUCCAAGGCUUUGCCACCAAUAAUUCACCUAGAAUUAUAAAUUUCAUGGUUAUACAAGUAAUAUAUGAUAAAUAAAUCAAAAAUAAACAUUCUUAAGAUUAGCCCAAGGUCUUACAUCCUAAAAUCCUCAUAAAAUAGGAUAUUCCCUACCUUAGAAUGAAUUCAAACCAUCUCCUAGGACCACAACUAUAUUUUCUAAGGACUAAAGAAUCACACGAGUGUUAGAUUGAUGGAAGGACUUACCUUGAAGAAGAAAAUCUGAAAAACUGAAUAAAUCACUCCUCCCUUGCCCAAGCAUGACCUUGGAUGAGUUUUGGGAGUAAAAUAACGUUUUAGGUCUGAAAAUAACUUUGAAUUUCGUGCAGCCCGCUGUAGCGGCCUAAUUUCCUCUAUACACUACUAAAAAAC
RNAcentral lists this long non-coding RNA (1214 nucleotides) under Solanum tuberosum (potato). RNAcentral describes it as "long non-coding RNA (STUB_LNC005546)". Lineage: Eukaryota; Viridiplantae; Streptophyta; Magnoliopsida; Solanales; Solanaceae. The record is from RNAcentral.